GACGAACGCUGGCGGCGUGCUUAACACAUGCAAGUCGAACGGAAAGGCCCUGCUUGCAGGGUCCUCGAGUGGCGAACGGGUGAGCAACACGUGGGUGAUCUGCCCUGCACUUCGGGAUAAGCCUGGGAAACUGGGUCUAAUACCGGAUAGGAGCCAUUUUUAGUGUGAUGGUUGGAAAGUUUUUUCGGUGUAGGAUGAGCUCGCGGCCUAUCAGCUUGUUGGUGGGGUAAUGGCCUACCAAGGCGGCGACGGGUAGCCGGCCUGAGAGGGUGGACGGCCACAGUGGGACUGAGAUACGGCCCAGACUCCUACGGGAGGCAGCAGUGGGGAAUAUUGCACAAUGGGCGCAAGCCUGAUGCAGCGACGCCGCGUGGGGGAUGACGGCCUUCGGGUUGUAAACUCCUUUCGCUAGGGACGAAGCUUUUUGUGACGGUACCUAGAUAAGAAGCACCGGCUAACUACGUG
RNAcentral lists this ribosomal RNA (465 nucleotides) under uncultured bacterium. Its description in RNAcentral is "partial 16S ribosomal RNA". It matches the Rfam family "Bacterial small subunit ribosomal RNA", at positions 28 to 507 of the family's 1533-position model. The record is from RNAcentral.